AGUCGAGCGGGGAAAGGUAGCUUGCUACCUGACCUAGCGGCGGACGGGUGAGCUAUGCUUAGGAAUCUGCCUAUUAGUGGGGGACAACAUUCCGAAAGGAAUGCUAAUACCGCAUACGCCCUACGGGGGAAAGCAGGGGAUCUUCGGACCUUGCGCUAAUAGAUGAGCCUAAGUCAGAUUAGCUAGUUGGUGGGGUAAAGGCCUACCAAGGCGACGAUCUGUAGCGGGUCUGAGAGGAUGAUCCGCCACACUGGGACUGAGACACGGCCCAGACUCCUACGGGAGGCAGCAGUGGGGAAUAUUGGACAAUGGGCGAAAGCCUGAUCCAGCCAUGCCGCGUGUGUGAAGAAGGCCUUUUGGUUGUAAAGCACUUUAAGCGAGGAGGAGGCUACUUAGAUUAAUACUCUAGGAUAGUGGACGUUACUCGCAGAAUAAGCACCGGCUAACUCUGUGCCAGCAGCCGCGGUAAUACAGAGGGUGCGAGCGUUAAUCGGAUUUACUGGGCGUAAAGCGUGCGUAGGCGGCUUCUUAAGUCGGAUGUGAAAUCCCUGAGCUUAACUUAGGAAUUGCAUUCGAUACUGGGAAGCUAGAGUAUGGGAGAGGAUUGUAGAAUUCCAUGUGUAGCGGUGAAAUGCGUAUAGAUCUGGAGGAAUACCGAUGGCGAGCAGCCAUCUGGCCUAAUACUGACGCUGAGUACCCAAACAUGGGAGCAAACAGAUUAGAUACCUGGUAGUCAUGCGUAAACAUGUCUACUAGCCGUUGGGGCCUUGAGCUUUACUGGCGCAGCUACCCAUAAGUAGACCGCCUGGGGAGUACG
Molecule: ribosomal RNA, 817 nt
Filed under: uncultured bacterium
Lineage: Bacteria
Description: bacterial SSU rRNA
Rfam family: Bacterial small subunit ribosomal RNA
Source: RNAcentral